This is a non-coding RNA of Borealophlyctis nickersoniae, 97 nucleotides long. The record is from the annotation of a GenBank genome assembly. NCBI's taxonomy places the organism in Eukaryota, Fungi, Chytridiomycota, Chytridiomycetes, Rhizophlyctidales, Borealophlyctidaceae.
GCAUGGUUGGUCCAGUGGUAGAAUUGCCGCCUGCCAGUAUGUGAGCAAUCGCAUUAGCAGUUCGCGGCAGACCCGGGUUCGAUUCCCGGACCAUGCA